This 1136-nucleotide long non-coding RNA is filed under the name Homo sapiens (human). Its description in RNAcentral is "non-protein coding lnc-RAB17-1:3". The record is from RNAcentral. Lineage: Eukaryota; Metazoa; Chordata; Mammalia; Primates; Hominidae.
GCUGUUCCCCUCUCUGCAGGGUCAUGUGGCCUGGCCUGCCGGCCCUCCGUCCCCGCUCCAGGACUAACCUCUGUGGAGGGAAUCACCUAACUCGAGGGAUCACGACUCCUGAGCAGUGAAGUCGCAUGAGGCCCCACAGACCCCGGGAUUGGAGGCCCAAGGACCUGCCAGUGUGCGGGGCUGGCCUCUGCAGACAGUGAAAAGCUCCCGUGGCCACGCUUGGCAGAUGCUGGGAAGUGAAGAGACAGCCAAAUGGCCAAAUUCCCCUGGAAAUUUCUCCUGGUGUCUGGCACCCUGGGAUUUUGCCUGGCUGGGUUUGUGGGCGGCUGCCAGAGGCACUGCAGAAGCUGUCAGGCUGGGCUUCCAGGGACAAAGGUGGAAGCGCCCCCACCAGAGAAGAGUGUGGGUGUCAGGCAUGGCCUGGGCUGAGACCCCGCUGUCACUUCCUGUCUGUGAUCUUGAUCAAGCUCACCCCCUGCCCUGAGCCGGCUGGUUUGUUCAUCAGUACAACAGGGUUAAUAAAUAGCACUGCCUACCCGCUGGGUGCUGUAAACAUCCUGUGGAAAGAUGGACUUUUGAAAACAUCGCGUGUCACUGUGAGGAGCUGCCGGGGUUGGAAGAGGAGUGGCUAGAUGUUCCUUGAGGCUCCCUGCUGCGCUGGGCUGCAGAUAUCCAUUCCUGUUGGCUCUGCCUACGCGAGGCCCCCGGGAUCGGUCUGCCUUGCACCACCUUCGCUGCUCUCCGGUUCGACCACCGCCUUCUCCCAGCCGGCCCUGCUGCCUCACCCCCACCUCCACAACCUGUUCUCAGGAGGAUGGCCAGAGCAACCCCUGUGCCCUCAGCCAGCUGUCUUCUGCUCAAGCCUCCCCGCCCCCCCAUAGUAAAAGGCAGAGCCUGGACCAUGGCCUGGGAGGCUCCGUUCUGUCUGACUCUGCCACUACGUCCGGCUCCAGCCUCUGCGCGCCCACCCGCCCCUGCCUCGCCCAUCUUGGCCGGGCUGUCUCCUGCAGCGGCUCCCUCCUUGGGACCUUAGGAGGGGCUGCAACACUUGACCUUAGACAGCCACACGGCAGCCCCGGCACCUCUGCCAGCUCUUUGGGCAAAUCCCACGCUCAGUGAGGCGCCCUGACUGUCCU